AUUUUCCCGAGGAAAGUCCGAGCAUCACAGAGCAGGAUAGCUGUUAACGGCAGCCGAGGGCGACCUUAGGGCAAGUGCAACAGAGAUAUACCGCCAGAAAUGGUAAGGGUGGAAAGGCGAGGUAAGAGCUCACCGAUGCAUUGGUGACAAUGCAGUCAUGUAAACCCUAUCCGAUGCAACACCGAUUGGUUCGGAGAGCAAUGCGUCUGCUCGGCGCACUUCGAUUAAGGUGGCUACAUGCCUUUGGGCAGAGGAUUCCGACGGCGACGACGGAACUGGAUAGAUGAUUGCACACGACAGAACUCGGCUUAUCGAUGAA
Molecule: RNase P RNA, 319 nt
Filed under: uncultured Ruminiclostridium sp.
Lineage: Bacteria; Bacillati; Bacillota; Clostridia; Eubacteriales; Oscillospiraceae
Description: Bacterial RNase P class A
Rfam family: Bacterial RNase P class A
About the family: Ribonuclease P (RNase P) is a ubiquitous endoribonuclease, found in archaea, bacteria and eukarya as well as chloroplasts and mitochondria.
Source: RNAcentral